Molecule: transfer RNA, 72 nt
Filed under: Reticulibacter mediterranei
Lineage: Bacteria; Bacillati; Chloroflexota; Ktedonobacteria; Ktedonobacterales; Reticulibacteraceae
Rfam family: tRNA
About the family: Transfer RNA (tRNA) molecules are approximately 80 nucleotides in length. Their secondary structure includes four short double-helical elements and three loops (D, anti-codon, and T loops). Further hydrogen bonds mediate the characteristic L-shaped molecular structure. tRNAs have two regions of fundamental functional importance: the anti-codon, which is responsible for specific mRNA codon recognition, and the 3' end, to which the tRNAs corresponding amino acid is attached (by aminoacyl-tRNA synthetases). tRNAs cope with the degeneracy of the genetic code in two manners: having more than one tRNA (with a specific anti-codon) for a particular amino acid; and 'wobble' base-pairing, i.e. permitting non-standard base-pairing at the 3rd anti-codon position.
Source: Rfam by way of RNAcentral
GGUGAUGUAGCUCAAUGGAUAGAGCAACGGCGUGCGAAGCCGUCGAUGAGAGUUCGAUUCUCUCCAUUAUCU